GAUCAAGCGCGAGAAGGGCGUUUGGUGGAUGCCUUGGCAGUAAGAGGCGAUGAAGGACGUGAUACUCUGCGAUAAGUCCUGGGGAGCUGAGAAUAAGCUUUGAUCCAGGAAUUUCCGAAUGGGGCAACCCACCUGAAAGUUCGUUAUAAUUACCUCUGGUAGUUUAUAACGGGCUUAAACAGGUACUUUUAACCUGAACACAUAGGGUUUUAAGAGCAAACCCGGGGAACUGAAACAUCUAAGUACCCGGAGGAAAGGACAUCAAUAGAGACUCCCCUAGUAGCGGCGAGCGAACGGGGACCAGCCGAGUCCUGAGAGUGAACAGAAUGGUCUGGAAAGGCCAACCACAGCGGGUGACAGUCCCGUAUGUGAAGCUCGAUGGAACGUAUUAAGUAGGGCGGGACACGUGAAAUCCUGUUCGAAGAUCGGAGGACCACCUCCGAAGGCUAAGUACUCCUUACUGACCGAUAGCGAACCAGUACCGUGAGGGAAAGGUGAAAAGCACCCCGACGAGGGGAGUGAAACAGUACCUGAAACCGAACGCCUACAAUCAGUCGGAGGCUCCUCGAGAGCUGACGGCGUACCUUUUGUAUAAUGGGUCAUCGACUUGGUCUAUCUAGCAAGCUUAAGCCGUUAGGUGUAGGCGCAGCGAAAGCGAGUCUUAAUAGGGCGUCGAGUUAGAUGGAUCAGACCCGAAACCGAGUGAUCUAGGCAUGACCAGGAUGAAGGUUGGGUAACACCAACUGGAGGUCCGAACCCACACCUGUUGAAAAAGGUCGGGAUGAGUUGUGCCUAGGGGUGAAAGGCCAAUCAAACUCGGAGAUAGCUGGUUCUCCGCGAAAUCUAUUUAGGUAGAGCGUCAUCCGAAUACCCCGGGGGGUAGAGCACUGGAUGGGUAAUGGGGCCCCACAGGCUUACUGAUCCUAACCAAACUCCGAAUACCCGGGAGUACUAGAUGGCAGACACACUGCGGGUGCUAACGCCCGUAGUGGAGAGGGAAACAACCCUGACCUCCGGCUAAGGCCCCCAAUUCAUGGCUAAGUGGGAAAGCAGGUGGGACGACCAAAACAACCAGGAGGUUGGCUUAGAAGCAGCCAUCCUUUAAAGAUAGCGUAACAGCUCACUGGUCUAAUUAA
Molecule: ribosomal RNA, 1136 nt
Filed under: Alloyangia pacifica
Lineage: Bacteria; Pseudomonadati; Pseudomonadota; Alphaproteobacteria; Rhodobacterales; Roseobacteraceae
Description: partial 23S ribosomal RNA
Rfam family: Bacterial large subunit ribosomal RNA
Source: RNAcentral